UGAAAAUUAAACUGCAGAAAACUAAAGUAAUGUUUAACAGUCUCGGAAGAGAACAGCAGUUUACGAUAGGUAGCGAGGCACUGGAAGUGGUGAGGGAAUACAUCUACUUAGGGCAGGUAGUGGCCACGGAUCCGGAUCAUGAGACCAAAAUAACCAGAAGAACAAGAAUGGGCUGGGGUGCAUUUGCCAGGCAUUCUGAAAUCGUGAACAGCAGGUUGCCACUAUCCCUCAAGGAAAAGUGUAUAACGGCUGUGUCUUACCAGUUUUCACAUAUGGGGCAGAAACCUGGAGGCUGACGAAAAGAGUUCUGCUUAAAUUGAGGAGGGUGUAACGUUAAGGGAUAAGAAAAGAGCAGAUUGGGUGAGGGAACAAACGCAGGUUAAUGACAUCUUAGUUGAAAUGGGCAUGGGCAGGACAUGUAAUGAGGAGGGAAGAUAACCGAUGGUCAUUAAGGGUUACGGACUGGAUUCCAAGGGAAGGGAAGUGUAGCAGGGGGCGGCAGAAGGUUAGGUGGGCGGAUGACAUUAAGAAGUUUGCGGGGACAACAUGGCCACAAUUAGUACAUGACCAGGGUAGUUGGAGAAGUAUGGGAGAGGCCUUUGCCCUGCAGUGGGCAUAACAAGGCUGAUGAUGAUGAUGAUCCUUGGGACCUUAUGGCAUUAAAGAGGAGAGUGGUUAUGAAGUAGUGAAGUAACGUAACCAAACACAUAAACAAGUGCAGUGAGUUUUGGUAAUAUAAUAAUUCUCCUGAUUAUAUAAUGUCAGGUAACAUUUUGUGAAAAAUUGUUAUCCAUGACGGCUACAAUACAUGAGGGAAGGUGGUUCCAUUCCCGAGAUGUGUGGGGGAUGAAAGAUUGAAAGAAAUGUGUAACAUGAAUCAAUUCCUACCUUACUGCGAUGAUCAACACGUUUUGAAAUGUACUGAGGCCGCAGUAUGAAGGCGUCAUGAGUGUUGCAUGAUGGAAUAUUUUUAUGAAAUAGUGAAAGGGACUGGCGACCUUGCGGCGGUUAACUAGUGGAAUAAGUACUAGGUUAGUUUUCAUUGAGGUUAUAUUUGCAGUAUGGUUAUAAUUUAAAAAAAUGAAACAAGUAGAGUUAUUUUGUACUAGCUGAAGUGAAAUAAUAAGAUUAACAUGACUGGGAUUCCAUAUUGCAGAUACAUAUUCAAGUUUCGUGUGUAUUAGAGUAUUGUAAAGCUGUAGUUUUAAAGUAGAUGGCGCUUUGGGAAAGUUCCACUGUAAGUACACAAGCAUGUGAUUAGCAUUAAUAAUGACAUGACAUAAUCUAUAUUAAUGGUCCAAAAGUUAUUUGUAAUGUGUACACCAAGAUAUUUAUAUCACAUGACGAAAUCUAAGGGAAUGUUGUUAAGAUAGUAAGUGCUAGGAUUAAAAUUAGAUCUGGAUACAUGCAUUACCUUCCAUUUGUUGUCAUACAGUCGUCAUGAUGGUGUCGAGGCCACUCCAGCUUUGUUGUCCAAAUCUCGUCACACCUUCUGCCCCAUACGUUGAUAGGCUUCUGAUCAAAUCUGUCCACUCAAGAGAUUAUGUGAAAAAUUCAGCAAGAUAUCCUACAUCCGGGCCCUAUAAGAGCCACCCGUACAAUUCUAGGGCUGGACGUCAGUAAAGCGUUUGACAAUGUGUCACAUGCUUCAAUACUCACAAAUCUAGCCCAAAUGAAUGUCGGGAAGCGCACUUAUAGCUAUAUUACAAGCUUUCUCAAGGAUCGCACUGCAGAAAUACAUUUUGGGGACAUUAAAAGCGGACAAUUUCAAUUAGGUACAAGGGGCACCCCUCAGGGUGCGGUCCUCUCCCCCUUCCUUUUCAAUGUGACCAUGCGAAACCUGCCACCCGCCGUGGUUGCUCAGUCGCUAUGGUGUUGGGCUGCUGAGCACGAGGUCGCGGGAUCGAAUCCCGGCCAUGGCGGCCGCAUUUCGAUGGGGGCGAAAUGCGAAAACACCCGUGUACUUAGAUUUAGGUGCACGUUAAAGAACCCCAGGUGGUCGAAAUUUCCGGAGUCCCCCACUACAGCGUGCCUCAUAAUCAGAAAGUGGUUUUGGCACGUAAAACCCCAUAAUUUAAUUUUAAUUUUUUAUGCGAAACCUGCCUCCAUUACUGAAAAGGAUCCCGCAUAUCAAACACUCCAUCUAUGCCGAUGAUAUCACCAUCUGGACCAAUAGCAGUUCCGAUGGAAAAAUCACGGAAGCAUUACAAGCGGCCGCGGAUACCGUACAAAAUUUUGUGCGACAGAAUGGUCUAGCGUGCUCGCCGACAAAAUCGGAGCUAAUCAUCAUCCGAGAUAAAUCAACCAAACACGCCACCGAAAGGGAUGCCACAUCACCUAUACGAGUCAGUAUGGAAGACAGCCCAGUUCUGCCCAUACUGACUAUAAGAGUCCUGGGCAUGCUAAUUCAACAUAACACCCAUAAUUCUGAGGCGAUUGUCCGAUUACGGACGACAGCCCGCCAAAUAUGUGGCCUAAUCAGAUGAGUAGCCACACGACACCGCGGUAUGAAGGAGGCUGAUAUCUGCCAUCUGACGCAGGCUUUCCUGAUCAGUCGCGUCAUGUAUUCCUUCCCUUACAACCACCUACGCCUUUCUGACAAGGAAAAGGUUAACAGCGUCAUUCACACAGCUCAUAAAGCUGCCCUUGGUCUCCCGAGGUAUGCAAACACUGAACGAUUACUUGAGCUAGGUAUAUACAAUACCCUAGACGAACUCGUGGAGGCCCAUAAAACAGCCCAACGUGAACGACUCUCCAGCACCGCAACUGGCAGGGUCAUUUUAAGUAAACUCGGGCUGAAUUCCGUCAUGAAUGCAGCAGGAAGAACAACAUUACUCGGUGCGGUCAAACGCCGUUUGGUUAUAAAACCGUUACCCAAGAACAUGCUCCCUGGGAGACACGACAAGAGGCGGUCUGCCAGAGCCAAGGCCCUUCAAGAAAGGUACCAAAGCAACCAGCACACCGUUUAUGUCGAUGCAGCAAAGCAAAAUCACCAAACUUAUGUAGUGAGCGUCAUGACCGGAGAGGGAAGUAUUCUCAAUGCCGCGACCAUAAAAACAGCGUCCAACGUGGAAGCGGAAGAGACUGCCAUUGCUUUGGCCAUCAUGAAUCCCUCCGUGCAAACUAUCAUAAGCGACUCCAAAAGGGCAAUAGUCAACUUUUCGAGAGGCAGCAUAGGCGUCUGUGCAGCGCGAGUCCUACGGGACUUUACAAAUUAAAAUACCGUUGAACUCGUAUGAGUCCCUGCCCAUUUGGGGAAUCAAGGGAAUGAGGAGGCGCACUGGGUAGCCCAAGGUCUAAUCAACCGGGAGGUGUGCCCCUCAGACUUAGAUCCCAUGGAUGAGGCACCGACGACAUACCACGAGAUAACAAACUACUACAAGCAAAAAAGGUGAAUCUACCCGCCUCCAAACGCAAGCCUCACGCGAGCGCAAGCCUCGAUCUUGCGUCGAAUCCAAACUAAAUCAAUCCCCAGCCCACAUUGGCUAGCCAUAAUUACCAAUGGGCAAUGGAACCCAAUAUGUCAAAACUGCACAAAUCAAACAUUGGCUACCCAAAAUCCCAUUCUUUGGGGGUGCGAGGGCUUACCCCCUCCCAGGUCGCUCCUGCCAGCUCCCUCACAACAGACGUGGGAGGAGCUGCUCAGAAAGCCGGAUGAAAAACUACAAAAAGCCCUCGUUGCCUGGGCUGAAAGGGUCGCUCCUCGUGAGGAGCCAUCCUAGGACUCGGGCCUGCCAGAUGAUAACUAAGCAGAGUCUCAAUAAAGUUGUUACCACCACCCAUUGUCAUCAUAGUCACCAUUAUUCCAUCAUCAUUGCACUGUCGUCAUGCAUUUGUUGUCUUACCACCAUUGUGAUGCAGUCAUGGUGGUUGCAUUGUCGUCAUUUACAGUCUUGUCAUCCGAUUCUCAUCAUACCAGUGAUGUAACCCCAUUGUCCUUAUGCAGUCAUCAUUAUACGAGGGUCGUCCAACUCAAUCUGAGACUUUUUUUUCUUUCAGGUUUAAAUGGCUGCCUAGGCUGGAGUUUUCGUAUGCAGUAGAAACUGGCACCGGUAUCCUGUUACUGGUAGACAGCGCUCAUUUCCCGCGCUUCUGGAUAGACUUAUUCAAGAUGGCAGACAACAGUGUGAAAUGUCUAUGUAGAGCAGCGUGUUGUGAUGAAGUUUUUAGUGAACAAGGGCAUAAAACCUGCUGAAAUUUACAGAAGACUUCAGGCUCACUACGGUGAUGAGACACUCAGUCGCAGUAAGACAUUUAAAUGGUGUAAGCACUUCAAAGAUGGCCAUAUCUCUAUAACUGACAAUCCCGGUCGUGGUAAAUCACAGCCCACGGUAGUCAUUCCUGAUAAUAUUCAGCAUGUGGAGCAGCUGAUCGUGGACAAUCGUCGCACAACCUGUCUUGAAAUUGCAAGGGUAUGUAAUCCGUCAUUAAGAACAGUGAACAAAUAAUUCAUGAUCAUUCGUUGUUCCGAAAAGUGAGUGCAUGCUGGGUCCCAAAGCAGCUGUCUGCUUUUGACAGACACAGAAGAUUUGAAGUAUGUAGAGAACCGAAGGAACACUGUGAAAGGGAAGGCCAGGAUUUUCUGAAUCGCAUGUUGACACGUGACGAAACAUGGGUUCACCAUUCCACCCAAGAUUCCAAAAGAGCAUCGAUACAGUGGAAGCAUAUGGAAUCACCAGCUCCCAAGAAAUUUCGAACAGUUGCGUCUGCUGAAUCAUCAUCCCAUUGUCGUCAUACCGUCUUCGGCUGCACCAUUGUAUGCUUAGAAAGUCAGGGAACACUCACAGAGGAGUGUGGUUGUUUAAGCAAGAAUGCUAUAAAACAUCCUUUACACUGCAAUGUCGUGCAAGAAGCAGGACCUUCAGACCCCCAAGCAAUUCAGCGAGAUCAAGAUUGCCUACUCCCGCACAACAGCUAACACUUAAACAUUUAUGUUGCACACUUGAGUGCCUCGAGAGUUUUCUUUUUAUCGUGCCUGUGUGAUGCACAGCACCAUCUAUUAAUUGACCUUUAUUACAAUGAACUCUCCAGUUGCCAGUGCAA
Molecule: long non-coding RNA, 5043 nt
Organism: Dermacentor andersoni
Lineage: Eukaryota; Metazoa; Arthropoda; Arachnida; Ixodida; Ixodidae
Source: RefSeq, a predicted model, not a curated record